GAUCCUGGCUCAGAUUGAACGCUGGCGGCAGGCUUAACACAUGCAAGUCGAACGGUAACAGGAGAAAGCUUGCUUUCUUGCUGACGAGUGGCGGACGGGUGAGUAACACGUAAGCAACCUGCCUAUCAGAGGGGAACAACAGUUAGAAAUGACUGCUAAUACCGCAUAUGCCUAAGUAUCACAUGGUACAAUAGGGAAAGAAGCAAUUCGCUGAUAGAUGGGCUUGCG
Molecule: ribosomal RNA, 228 nt
Filed under: uncultured bacterium
Lineage: Bacteria
Description: partial 16S ribosomal RNA
Rfam family: Bacterial small subunit ribosomal RNA
Source: RNAcentral